GAUGAACGCUAGCGGCAGGCCUAAUACAUGCAAGUCGAACGAUAGUUGGGGCUUGCUCCAACGAAAAGUGGCGCACGGGUGCGUAACGCGUAUGCAACCUACCUUAAUCAGGGGGAUAGCCCGAAGAAAUUCGGAUUAACACCGCAUAAAAACACAGGAUAGCAUUAUCCAAUGUUCAAAUAUUUAUAGGAUUAAGAUGGGCAUGCGUGUCAUUAGUUAGUUGGCGGGGUAACGGCCCACCAAGACCACGAUGACUAGGGGAUCUGAGUGGAUGACCCCCCACACUGGUACUGAGACACGGACCAGACUCCUACGGGAGGCAGCAGUAAGGAAUAUUGGUCAAUGGAGGCAACUCUGAACCAGCCAUGCCGCGUGCAGGAAGACAGCCCUCUGGGUCGUAAACUGCUUUUAUUCGGGAAUAAACCUUUCUACGUGUAGAAAGCUGAAUGUACCGAAGGAAUAAGGAUCGGCUAACUCCGUGCCAGCAGCCGCGGUAAUACGGAGGAUCCAAGCGUUAUCCGGAUUUAUUGGGUUUAAAGGGUGCGUAGGCGGCUUAUUAAGUCAGGGGUGAAAGACGGUGGCUCAACCAUCGCAGUGCCUUUGAUACUGAUGAGCUUGAAUGGACUAGAGGUAGGCGGAAUGUGACAAGUAGCGGUGAAAUGCAUAGAUAUGUCACAGAACACCGAUUGCGAAGGCAGCUUACUAUGGUUUAAUUGACGCUGAGGCACGAAAGCGUGGGGAUCAAACAGGAUUAGAUACCCUGGUAGUCCACGCCCUAAACGAUGAAUACUCGCUGUUAGCGAUACACAGUUAGCGGCUAAGCGAAAGCGUUAAGUAUUCCACCUGGGGAGUACGCCCGCAAGGGUGAAACUCAAAGGAAUUGACGGGGGCCCGCACAAGCGGAGGAGCAUGUGGUUUAAUUCGAUGAUACGCGAGGAACCUUACCCGGGCUUGAAAGUUAGUGAAUCAUCCAGAGAUGGAUGAGUGAGCAAUCACACGAAACUAGGUGCUGCAUGGCUGUCGUCAGCUCGUGCCGUGAGGUGUUGGGUUAAGUCCCGCAACGAGCGCAACCCCUAUGUUUAGUUGCCAGCACGUUAAGGUGGGGACUCUAAACAGACUGCCUGUGCAAACAGAGAGGAAGGAGGGGACGACGUCAAGUCAUCAUGGCCCUUACGUCCGGGGCUACACACGUGCUACAAUGGAUGGUACAGAGGGCAGCAAGCUGGCAACAGCAAGCGAAUCUCAAAAAGCCAUUCACAGUUCGGAUAGAGGUCUGCAACUCGACCUCUUGAAGUUGGAUUCGCUAGUAAUCGCGUAUCAGCAAUGACGCGGUGAAUACGUUCCCGGGCCU
This 1351-nucleotide ribosomal RNA is filed under the name uncultured bacterium. RNAcentral's name for it is "bacterial SSU rRNA". It matches the Rfam family "Bacterial small subunit ribosomal RNA", at positions 28 to 1381 of the family's 1533-position model. The record is from RNAcentral.